This 402-nucleotide ribosomal RNA is filed under the name uncultured bacterium. RNAcentral's name for it is "bacterial SSU rRNA". It matches the Rfam family "Bacterial small subunit ribosomal RNA", at positions 355 to 774 of the family's 1533-position model. The record is from RNAcentral.
UCGGGAAUUUUGGGCAAUGGGCGAAAGCCUGACCCAGCAACGCCGCGUGAGGGGUGAAGUAUUUCGGUAUGUAAACCUCGAAAGAAUGGGAAGAAUAAAUGACGGUACCAUUUAUAAGCUCCGGCUAACUACGUGCCAGCAGCCGCGGUCAUACGUAGGGUGCGAGCGUUAAUCGGAAUUACUGGGCGUAAAGGGUGCGCAGGCGGUCUUGCAAGUCAGAUGUGAAAGCCCCGGGCUUAACCUGGGAAUUGCGUUUGAAACUACAAGGCUAGAGUGCAGCAGAGGGGAGUGGAAUUCCAUGUGUAGCAGUGAAAUGCGUAGAGAUGUGGAAGAACACCGAUGGCGAAGGCAGCUCCCUGGGUUGACACUGACGCUCAUGCACGAAAGCGUGGGGAGCAAACA